Molecule: long non-coding RNA, 359 nt
Organism: Molossus molossus (Pallas's mastiff bat)
Lineage: Eukaryota; Metazoa; Chordata; Mammalia; Chiroptera; Molossidae
Exons: 3
Source: RefSeq, a predicted model, not a curated record
GCCAUGUCAGAUUAGUGAUUCAUAAAGAUCAUACAGUGGUUCUCAAAGUGCAGUUCCUGGACCAGCAGCAGCAGCAUCGCCUGGGAACUUGUUUGAUUAGGUCAAAACUAUGGGACCAGCCUGUGGAAAGGUGGAAAGAAAGCAAGAAGAAUGCAAACCAUUUUCUUUUCAAAGAAAGUGCCUGAAAUUGAAUGUAUCACUUCUGCAGACAUCCUGUUGGUUGGAACCUGGUCAUGUGGCUAUGUAGUCAUGUGGUUUACCUAGUAUUAGGAACCUUGGGAAAUGUAGUUUCUAACUGGGCAGGAUUGUGUCCAGCUAAAACUUGGGGUUCUAUAUUACAAGAAAGUCAAGGAAUGAAU